This 414-nucleotide ribosomal RNA is filed under the name uncultured bacterium. RNAcentral's name for it is "bacterial SSU rRNA". It matches the Rfam family "Bacterial small subunit ribosomal RNA", at positions 361 to 772 of the family's 1533-position model. The record is from RNAcentral.
AUAUUGGACAAUGCCCGCAAGGGUGAUCCAGCCAUGCCGCGUGCAGGAAGAAGGCCCUAUGGGUCGUAAACUGCUUUUGAACAAGAGAAAACCCUCCGACGUGUCGGAGGCUGAUAGUAUUGUUAGAAUAAGCAUCGGCUAACUUCGUGCCAGCAGCCGCGGUAAUACGGAGGAUCCAAGCGUUAUCCGGAAUCAUUGGGUUUAAAGGGUCCGUAGGCGGGACAAUAAGUCAGUGGUGAAAGUCUGCAGCUUAACUGUAGAAUUGCCGUUGAAACUGUUGUUCUUGAGUAAUUAUGAAGUGGUUAGAAUAUGUAGUGUAGCGGUGAAAUGCAUAGAUAUUACAUAGAAUACCGAUUGCGAAGGCAGAUCACUAAUAAUUCACUGACGCUGAUGGACGAAAGCGUAGGUAGCGAA